This 483-nucleotide ribosomal RNA is filed under the name uncultured bacterium. RNAcentral's name for it is "partial 16S ribosomal RNA". It matches the Rfam family "Bacterial small subunit ribosomal RNA", at positions 30 to 507 of the family's 1533-position model. The record is from RNAcentral.
AUUGAACGCUGCGGCAGGCCUAACACAUGCAAGUCGCGCGGAUGAAAGGAGCUUGCUCCUGGAUUCAGCGGCGGACGGGUGAGUAAUGCCUAGGAAUCUGCCUGGUAGUGGGGGAUAACGUCCGGAAACGGGCGCUAAUACCGCAUACGUCCUGAGGGAGAAAGUGGGGGAUCUUCGGACCUCACGCUAUCAGAUGAGCCUAGGUCGGAUUAGCUAGUUGGUGGGGUAAAGGCCUACCAAGGCGACGAUCCGUAACUGGUCUGAGAGGAUGAUCAGUCACACUGGAACUGAGACACGGUCCAGACUCCUACGGGAGGCAGCAGUGGGGAAUAUUGGACAAUGGGCGAAAGCCUGAUCCAGCCAUGCCGCGUGUGUGAAGAAGGUCUUCGGAUUGUAAAGCACUUUAAGUUGGGAGGAAGGGCAGUAAGUUAAUACCUUGCUGUUUUGACGUUACCAACAGAAUAAGCACCGGCUAACUUCGUG